UAAGGUCUCAGUUAGAUGAACUGUUAUAUAUAAUAUAGGUUCUUAGUAUAUAUAUAGCAAUAUAUGUAGCUUAAGGAUACUAAAAGACCGAACGAGGUUUG
RNAcentral lists this ribosomal RNA (101 nucleotides) under Hydnora longicollis. RNAcentral's name for it is "4.5S ribosomal RNA". The record is from RNAcentral. Lineage: Eukaryota; Viridiplantae; Streptophyta; Magnoliopsida; Piperales; Hydnoraceae.